UACGGGGGGGGCAAGCGUUGUUCGGAAUUACUGGGCGUAAAGGGCUCGUAGGUGGUCAACUAAGUCGGACGUGAAAUCCCUCGGCUUAACCGGGGAACUGCGUCCGAUACUGGAUGACUUGAGUUCGGGAGAGGGAUGCGGAAUUCCAGGUGUAGCGGUGAAAUGCGUAGAUAUCUGGAGGAACACCGGUGGCGAAGGCGGCAUCCUGGACCAACACUGACACUGAGGAGCGAAAGCCAGGGGAGCAAACGGG
This 253-nucleotide ribosomal RNA is filed under the name uncultured bacterium. Its description in RNAcentral is "partial 16S ribosomal RNA". It matches the Rfam family "Bacterial small subunit ribosomal RNA", at positions 524 to 776 of the family's 1533-position model. The record is from RNAcentral.